CAUCAGGCCGUCAGUUUUGGUCUCGUAGGAAGCUGGAGGACUGGUCGUACGUGAACUGAGUGGAUCGGAGAAAUUGGCAGUUGUUCUUGGUGGAUGAGAGGGUCAUGAGCAUGAGUACUGUACCUACAAGGUCGUUCUAUAUGGUUUGUUCUCCCAAGGCUGAAGGUUCAAAGCAGUUCUCAGAAAUCAUGGUGAGGCAAAGACAUUGAAGAUGGAUUAGCCGAUGCAAGCAACUGCCAAUGGGAAAACUAAUUGCGAGCAUUGCAGGAUGUUCUACAAUCCCAAAGAACUGGUGGCUACUCGGAAGAAGUGGUAGAAAGAUCAAGCCGUUUCCUCAUUUGUUGUUAUAUGUGAACACAUGAAAUUUGUGUUCCUUUUAAUUUGUUUCCAUGAAGGAGCAGUACUUCCGGCUUUGUUUAAGUUAAUAUUGAAAAAUAUUGUAUUGGCAUUUGUUGGGCCAGGGAUUUGCUGAGGAUUUGAUGUCUGAAGUAUUUUCACUUGUAUAUAUUGAAUUUUUACUUGAA
Hordeum vulgare subsp. vulgare (domesticated barley) is the source of this 524-nucleotide long non-coding RNA. RefSeq lists it as uncharacterized. The transcript is spliced from 4 exons. Lineage: Eukaryota; Viridiplantae; Streptophyta; Magnoliopsida; Poales; Poaceae. The record is from RefSeq and is a predicted model, not a curated record.